This 253-nucleotide ribosomal RNA is filed under the name uncultured bacterium. Its description in RNAcentral is "partial 16S ribosomal RNA". It matches the Rfam family "Bacterial small subunit ribosomal RNA", at positions 524 to 776 of the family's 1533-position model. The record is from RNAcentral.
AACGUAGGUGGCAAGCGUUAUCCGGAUUUACUGGGCGUAAAGGGUGUGCAGGCGGGCGGUCAAGUGGUGUAUGAAAUCGCCCGGCUUAACCGGGCGGGGUUAUGCCAGACUGACGGUCUAGAGUGCGGGAGAGGGACGUGGAAUUCCGGGUGUAGUGGUGAAAUGCGUAGAGAUCCGGAGGAACCCCAGAGGCGAAGGCGGCGUCCUGGCCCGACACUGACGCUCAGACACGACAGCAUGGGGAGCGAACGGG